This 466-nucleotide ribosomal RNA is filed under the name uncultured bacterium. RNAcentral describes it as "partial 16S ribosomal RNA". It matches the Rfam family "Bacterial small subunit ribosomal RNA", at positions 28 to 507 of the family's 1533-position model. The record is from RNAcentral.
GAUGAACGCUGGCGGCGUGCUUAACACAUGCAAGUCGAACGAUGAAGCCCAGCUUGCUGGGUGGAUUAGUGGCGAACGGGUGAGUAACACGUGAGUAACCUGCCCUUAACUCUGGGAUAAGCCUGGGAAACUGGGUCUAAUACCGGAUAGGAGCGUCCACCGCAUGGUGGGUGUUGGAAAGAUUUAUCGGUUUUGGAUGGACUCGCGGCCUAUCAGCUUGUUGGUGAGGUAAUGGCUCACCAAGGCGACGACGGGUAGCCGGCCUGAGAGGGUGACCGGCAACACUGGGACUGAGAAACGGCCAAGACUCCUACGGGAGGCAGCAGUGGGGAAUAUUGCACAAUGGGCGCAAGCCUGAUGCAGCGACGCCGCGUGAGGGAUGACGGCCUUCGGGUUGUAAACCUCUUUCAGUAGGGAAGAAGCGAAAGUGACGGUACCUGCAGAAGAAGCACCGGCUAACUACGUG